Molecule: ribosomal RNA, 458 nt
Filed under: uncultured bacterium
Lineage: Bacteria
Description: partial 16S ribosomal RNA
Rfam family: Bacterial small subunit ribosomal RNA
Source: RNAcentral
CCUACGGGUGGCAGCAGUGAGGAAUAUUGGUCAAUGGGCGCGAGCCUGAACCAGCCAAGUCGCGUGAGGGAAGACGGUCCUACGGGUUGUAAACCUCUUUUGCCGGGGAGCAACGGGCGCCACGUGUGGCGCCACUGAGAGUACCCGGAGAAAAAGCAUCGGCUAAUCCGUGCCAGCCACCGCGGUUAUACCGGAGAUUCGAGCGUUAUGCGGAUUUAUUGGGUUUAAAGGGUGCGUAGGCCGAGCGUUAAGGCAGUUGGCAAAUUUGGGGGCUCAACCCCUUCCCGCCAUUGAAACUGGCGCUCUUGAGUGAAGAGAAGUAUGCGGAAUGCGUGGUGUAGCGGUGAAAUGCAUAGAUAUCACGCAGAACCCCGAUUGCGAAGGCAGCAUGCCGGCUUCCUACUGACGCUGAAGCACGAAAGCGUGGGGAUCGAACAGGAUUAGAUACCCUUGUAGUC